UACGAAGGGGGCUAGCGUUGUUCGGAAUUACUGGGCGUAAAGCGCACGUAGGCGGACUUUUAAGUCAGGUGUGAAAUCCCAAGGCUCAACCUUGGAGCUGCAUUUGAAACUGGAAGUCUUGAGACCAGGAGAGGUUAGCGGAAUACCGAGUGUAGAGGUGAAAUUCGUAGAUAUUCGGUGGAACACCAGUGGCGAAGGCGGCUAACUGGACUGGUACUGACGCUGAGGUGCGAAAGCGUGGGUAGCGAACAGG
This 253-nucleotide ribosomal RNA is filed under the name uncultured bacterium. RNAcentral's name for it is "partial 16S ribosomal RNA". It matches the Rfam family "Bacterial small subunit ribosomal RNA", at positions 524 to 776 of the family's 1533-position model. The record is from RNAcentral.